UUACGCCCAUAUCAGGUUGAAAGACCGGUUCCGGUACGAUCACCGAAGUUAAGCAACGUCGGGCAUGGUCAGUACAUGUAUGGGUAACACUUUAGGAAUUUCA
Acanthosepion pharaonis is the source of this 103-nucleotide non-coding RNA. Lineage: Eukaryota; Metazoa; Mollusca; Cephalopoda; Sepiida; Sepiidae. The record is from the annotation of a GenBank genome assembly.